Molecule: long non-coding RNA, 425 nt
Filed under: Lactuca sativa (garden lettuce)
Lineage: Eukaryota; Viridiplantae; Streptophyta; Magnoliopsida; Asterales; Asteraceae
Description: long non-coding RNA (LSAT_LNC006703)
Source: RNAcentral
UUCAUAGUCAUGGGUGUAUAAGAUUGGAAUCUUUGUCGUCGAACCAAUGCUGUUGGAAAUAUUAAUAGGGUUUGAUUGCGUCGCGUCCAUUAUGAUCGUAAAAACCUGUUCAAAGAUCAGACUUGUAAUAAAGCAGAUUAGGGCAAAACAAUAAAUAUCAAGAUAGGUCAAUUAAUAUGACGGCUCAAUAAGUAUUGAUGAAUGCGGAAAAACCCUAAUGGAAAUCUUUUUCACAGAAAAGAUGUGUAUCGAUUACACAGCCUCCUGCUCUGAUACCAAUUGAUGAGAUUAAAACNUCUGAUACCAAUUGAUGGGAUUAAUACGACUUUUAAUCUAUGAUGAUCGAUUAGAUCUUGAACAAGUUUAUGAGUGUAAAAUAAUAAGAACGCAAUAAUAAGAACAAAACAGCUUGAAUCAAACGUGUC